Molecule: long non-coding RNA, 1007 nt
Filed under: Equus caballus (horse)
Lineage: Eukaryota; Metazoa; Chordata; Mammalia; Perissodactyla; Equidae
Description: lncRNA (ENSECAG00000032420.3)
Source: RNAcentral
CUCACUUGCUCAGAGUUAUAGAACCUUGGAGAUUAGAAAUAAUAGAUGAAACAACUUCUCCCUCUCAUAGGCACCCCUGGAAGACUCCCAGGAAAGCAGGAAUUACAGAAGGGAUCCACGCCUGGGAAAGGGGACAUUGAGACACAGAGAUGGAUCCACUGGAAGGACGCCAUGUGAAGAUGAAGGCAGAGAUCAGGAUGAUGCUUCUACAGGACAAGGAAUGCCCAGGAUUGCCAGUAAACCACCGGAAGCUAGUGGAGAAGCACGAAACAGAUUCUCCCCUCACAGUCCUCAGAGGGAACCAACCCUACCCACAAUCUUGGACUAUUACCUCCAGGAUUUAUUUAGUCUUCAGAUAACUGAAGAUGAUGACAAGUGACCCCAGGAACUUCUCUUCUGGAGAUUAUACCAGGCUCCAAACUGAGGUGGCUUUUGCAUCAGUUCAUACUAAUUAAGGAUCCAGUACAGAAAAGAAAACAAACGUCAACACGCCACACUCUGGAGAUUUGAAGUACUGAAGCUUCAGGACUCAGUAUUCAGUUCCCACCGGAGAACUGGCUGUAUCACAUUGCAGUGACUCAUCCAGUGUCUGCCUUCCGCCUAUGGUCUGGUCUUCUUGAGGGCAGGGAAAAACCUCUUCUUAACCAUCUCUGCAGGCUCAUAAAGUCUUGGGAGAAUUAUACUGACUCGAUCAUUGUGGGUUGAUGAACUCAGCAAGUAUUUGAGAAGAACAUCAACUCCUGAUUUCAUCAUGGAUGGUGUAGCCAGGAAGGUUGGAUUUGAAUGCUUGUCCUCAUGGAAGUGAGAUAAAAAAAAUAUGGAUAUCCUUGACUACAUGGACGACUUAAACACACGAUGGGAAUACAUUCAUACCCACCCAUCAUCUCCCUGGCAAGAUGAGUUCUCCAGAGUUGCGUUGGAUCGGAAGGCAACUUAGACAUAAACAGUGAAAGGAGUAAUUCCAAGGGCCUGCACACUUAAAAUAAAAUUCAUCUUUGUGGAUGUGA